RNAcentral lists this ribosomal RNA (429 nucleotides) under Bacteroidota bacterium. RNAcentral's name for it is "Bacteroidetes bacterium partial 16S ribosomal RNA". It matches the Rfam family "Bacterial small subunit ribosomal RNA", at positions 355 to 776 of the family's 1533-position model. Lineage: Bacteria; Pseudomonadati; Bacteroidota. The record is from RNAcentral.
UAGGGAAUCUUCCGCAAUGGACGCAAGUCUGACGGAGCAACGCCGCGUGAGUGAAGAAGGAUUUCGGUUCGUAAAACUCUGUUGUUAGAGAAGAACAGCGCAUAGAGUAACUGUUAUGCGUGUGACGGUAUCUAACCAGAAAGCCACGGCUAACUACGUGCCAGCAGCCGCGGUAAUACGUAGGUGGCAAGCGUUGUCCGGAUUUAUUGGGCGUAAAGCGAGCGCAGGCGGUCAAUUAAGUCUGAUGUGAAAGCCCCCGGCUCAACCGGGGAGGGUCAUUGGAAACUGGUUGACUUGAGUGCAGAAGAGGAGAGUGGAAUUCCCGGUGUAACGGUGGAAUGUGUAGAUAUCGGGAAGAACACCAAUGGCGAAGGCAGGUCUCUGGGCUGUUACUGACGCUGAGAAGCGAAAGCGUGGGGAGCGAACAGG